Molecule: long non-coding RNA, 111 nt
Organism: Amphibalanus amphitrite
Lineage: Eukaryota; Metazoa; Arthropoda; Thecostraca; Balanomorpha; Balanidae
Exons: 2
Source: RefSeq, a predicted model, not a curated record
AAUAAUUAUAGUGGACAGGGCAGAACCUCGAAACCACUUUUACACUCUCACUCGAUCAUGUUCAGUUCAAAUAUAUCGUCAAGUUCAUUUCAAAUAAAUCACAAGUGAUGA